CAUGUAGGCGGCAUGACAAGUCCGGUGUGAAAUAUCUCGGCUCAACCGAGAAAACGCACUGGAAACUGUCAAGCUUGAGUAUCGGAGGGGAAGCUAGAAUUCCUGGUGUAGGGGUGAAAUCUGUAGAUAUCAGGAAGAAUACCGGUGGCGAAGGCGAGCUUCUGGCCAGAUACUGACGCUGAGAUGCGAAAGCGUGGGGAGCAAACAGGAUUAGAUACCCUGGUAGUC
RNAcentral lists this ribosomal RNA (228 nucleotides) under uncultured bacterium. RNAcentral describes it as "partial 16S ribosomal RNA". It matches the Rfam family "Bacterial small subunit ribosomal RNA", at positions 568 to 795 of the family's 1533-position model. The record is from RNAcentral.